UGCAGAAUUCAGCGAGCCAUCGAAUCUUUGAACGCACAUUGCGCCCGCCAGCAUUCUGGCGGGCAUGCCUGUCCGAGCGUCAUUUCCUCCCUCACGCAGCGCGCCUGCGUGGUGUUGGGGCGUUCUGCGGCCAGGCCUGCGCCCA
Molecule: ribosomal RNA, 145 nt
Filed under: Leptographium clavigerum
Lineage: Eukaryota; Fungi; Ascomycota; Sordariomycetes; Ophiostomatales; Ophiostomataceae
Description: Grosmannia clavigera partial 5.8S ribosomal RNA
Rfam family: 5.8S ribosomal RNA (bases 1-82)
About the family: 5.8S ribosomal RNA (5.8S rRNA) is a component of the large subunit of the eukaryotic ribosome.
Source: RNAcentral